Molecule: long non-coding RNA, 2624 nt
Filed under: Phoenix dactylifera (date palm)
Lineage: Eukaryota; Viridiplantae; Streptophyta; Magnoliopsida; Arecales; Arecaceae
Description: long non-coding RNA (PDAC_LNC009880)
Source: RNAcentral
CAUAUUUUGACCAAGUCAACAUCACAUGCCAAUCACAUGUCCAUCAUGCCUCACCUCUUGAUCUUUCAUGAUGAUGAUCCAAGGGCUCCAAUGCAAGGCGCCAUUCACUUGAUCCAUUAUGUCUUCAUCCAAUGGUGGAAUUUAGAACCAAUGGUCAAUUAUGAUAGCCAUCCUCUAACCCAAUCCAAUUGGGUUAAACCAACUCUCCAUUAUGUCUUCAUCCAACGGUAGAUCAAGAUCUAACGGUUUAGAUUGAAUGAUUUAUCAAAUCUAAUCCAAUUAGACUCAAACCAAGCCAAUUAGGUGCCAACUCUUGGCUAACCCAUAUUAGAACAUGAUCUAAUCAAAUUAGAUCAAUUAAGAAUCAGAUUGGAAUUCAAUUCGAAUCAGAUUUGAAUCCAAUUCGAAUCAGGAGCUAAGGGUUUGCAACACCUGCUAGGAUGUCUAUCUUGCAAACAUGAUUUAAUCCAAUUAGAUCCUUGAUAAGUUUCCUUGUGUGUGACCCAUUGGGUUCCAUACUUAGCCAGCAAUAUGUGUGAGUGCGAGUUAACCCAACUUGAUUAGAACUCUUCUAAUCGAUUUAAGUCCAAACUGCACGAACCCGAACUUAACAAUUAGAAUUCUUUCUAAUUGGUGAUCGAAUUAAACUCUUUAAUUCGAUCAAACCUAUAAGACAAGAUUGACGUCUAGCAACGUGUCAUGUCUACUCGGAAAAUAUAGAAUUUGGUGGAAAUACCAAAAACACCCUUCAGUGGUAAGUUACCGUGCAAUUCAAUCCUUCAAUUAAACUGCAUUCCGAAUAUGUAUAUGAGUAUGAAUAUAUGUCAAACUCAAUUUCAUAUUCAUAUAUUUCUCAAUUUUCUAAUGAUAAUUCGAAUAAUGAAACAUUAGAAACUCUUUCUAAUUUUCAUUCUGCUUUGAUCAAAGGCUCCCUGAAUUAUCAUAUGAUUAGAAUAAAUAGGAUGCGAUCUUCUCUUACUAUAAGUGAUUAAUUCCUUGUUGACUUACUCAUAACCUUCGCACACAAUCUACCAUAUCCAGAAGACCUCGUACACAACUUACUGUCAUGAAUGAGUGUAAACCAAAAUAUGGAUUUAUGUGCACAAGAUAUCAUGGUGAUCUCAGGUCAAAGGAUCAGUUGCACAACUCCCACUAAGAGAAUCAUCUUUUGACAUGUAAGUAAGACUUCAUAAGAUUUCUCUUUGUAGGUCAAUUCAGUGAACUCAUUCUUCUAAUGAGCACCCAUAUCUUUGUAUUAGUGUCUCCACACAAGUGAUUGUGAGAUCAAUCACCCUCUGCAUCGAGCAUACAUAAGAUGUGCCAGUCUUGCCGGUAAAUAUUGAUCCUCGACUCAAUGUACCAAUGACUGGAAAUAUUUAAUAUUGGGGUUUUAGGAUUUUAGGUCUCACUAGUAUGAUCUCAUCAUAGCCUCAAAACCAUUGCCCUAAUCUAAGGGGUUCAUCACAAAUAUAAUCAACAGCAUAUGAUAAAACACAAUGCCUUUAUUCAUAUUUAAAUGUCAUGUACAUGAUUUGGAAAAUCAAAAGAAAAUCCUUUGCAAUACAUAUUGCGAUUGGCUUGUAGGGCAUCUACUCUUUCAAAAUCCACAUCCAAGGCCUUGCUGCUGGAUCUUUUUUCUCUCUCUUAGAAUAUGGAGAAUAACAUGUUUCAUAAUGCCCUAAACUGGUAUCCUAUACCACAGCUUGUGUACUAUGUUAAUCACUUCAACUUUUAGGAUAUCUAACAUUAACCUGGACGUAUACAGGUUGUUUAUGGAUCUUGAUUUUUUUUCCUGUUUUUUAUGGGAUUUAUUCCAGCUGUUUGAUGCAUCACUUGGUUCAGUUUUAUCUUCUAAUUAAAGCUGGGUGGGCCUAGGAAGCUUGUUGCCCAAGGUGACAAGCCAAAAGGGGGGGUGAAUUGGUUUCUUUAAAUUUUUACUAUCUUAAUUGAGUCAAUUGAUGAGUGAGUGAAGUUAAGACAAUACACAAUGCAAACACACAAGAAGUAUAGUGGUUCGGUGCUCUCCUAAGCACCUACGUCUACUCCCCAAGCGACCUCUUGGAAAUUCACUAUAAUCUCGCGGAUUACAGUUGGAUUGUUUUCCGGAUUCACAAUCCAAAAAUCUUUACACUUUGAUUUUCCGGGAUCACCAAAAACCUACGUUGGUUUUACGGGCUCACCAACGAACCUUCAUAAUUGGUUUUACGGAUUCACCAAUCAACCUACACCAUUGGUUUUACGGGCUCACCAACAAACCUUUACAAGGUGAUUAAAAAGAAGAAAGUUGAAACUCCUAGAUGAGCAAAUAUAACAAUUAUAAGCUACAAAGAAGAGUUUAGAAUAUAGUUAUCGCUUGAUGAGACUUCUCUCUUCUUUAUCAAGAUUGCUUCACUCUUCAAGGGUUGAUGAAUCUCUUAAUGUUGCUUAGAAUCUGCUUUUCCACUUUCUUUUGACUCUUGAGUGAAGCACUUGGAUAAAGAAGAUUAGGGCACUUGUCUUUCUUGUGUAAGCUUUGAUAUUUUGCAAAAGGAUACAUUCUCUAAUGAAUAGUGUCACUUUAAAUAGUUUUCCUCAUCCAUUGGACACCCCCUAUUGGUUAGAUUUCAAAAACUAGCCGUUACUUA